Molecule: ribosomal RNA, 804 nt
Filed under: uncultured Staphylococcus sp.
Lineage: Bacteria; Bacillati; Bacillota; Bacilli; Caryophanales; Staphylococcaceae
Description: SSU rRNA
Rfam family: Bacterial small subunit ribosomal RNA
Source: RNAcentral
UCGAGCGAACAGACGAGGAGCUUGCUCCUCUGACGUUAGCGGCGGACGGGUGAGUAACACGUGGAUAACCUACCUAUAAGACUGGGAUAACUUCGGGAAACCGGAGCUAAUACCGGAUAAUAUAUUGAACCGCAUGGCUCAAUAGUGAAAGACGGUUUUGCUGUCACUUAUAGAUGGAUCCGCGCCGCAUUAGCUAGUUGGUAAGGUAACGGCUUACCAAGGCGACGAUGCGUAGCCGACCUGAGAGGGUGAUCGGCCACACUGGAACUGAGACACGGUCCAGACUCCUACGGGAGGCAGCAGUAGGGAAUCUUCCGCAAUGGGCGAAAGCCUGACGGAGCAACGCCGCGUGAGUGAUGAAGGUCUUCGGAUCGUAAAACUCUGUUAUUAGGGAAGAACAAAUGUGUAAGUAACUAUGCACGUCUUGACGGUACCUAAUCAGAAAGCCACGGCUAACUACGUGCCAGCAGCCGCGGUAAUACGUAGGUGGCAAGCGUUAUCCGGAAUUAUUGGGCGUAAAGCGCGCGUAGGCGGUUUUUUAAGUCUGAUGUGAAAGCCCACGGCUCAACCGUGGAGGGUCAUUGGAAACUGGAAAACUUGAGUGCUGAAGAGGAAAGUGGAAUUCCAUGUGUAGCGGUGAAAUGCGCAGAGAUAUGGAGGAACACCAGUGGCGAAGGCGACUUUCUGGUCUGUAACUGACGCUGAUGUGCGAAAGCGUGGGGAUCAAACAGGAUUAGAUACCCUGGUAGUCCACGCCGUAAACGAUGAGUGCUAAGUGUUAGGGGGUUUCCGCCCCUUAGUGCU